This 399-nucleotide ribosomal RNA is filed under the name uncultured bacterium. RNAcentral describes it as "partial 16S ribosomal RNA". It matches the Rfam family "Bacterial small subunit ribosomal RNA", at positions 360 to 774 of the family's 1533-position model. The record is from RNAcentral.
AAUAUUGCACAAUGGAGGGAACUCUGAUGCAGCAACGCCGCGUGAGUGAAGAAGGUUUUCGGAUCGUAAAACUCUGUCAUUGGGGAAAAAUAAAUGACAGUACCAAAUGAGUAAGCCCCUGCUAACUACGUCACGGCAGCCGCGGUAAUACGUAGGGGGCGAGCAUUGUCCGGAAUUACUGGGAGUAAUGGGUACGUAGGCGGCUAUAUAAGUCAGAGGUGAAAUACCAGGGCUUAACACUGGAAUUGCAUUUGAAACUGUGUAGCUUGAGUGCAGGAGAGGAAAGUGGAAUUCCUAGUGUAGCGGUGAAAUGCGUAGAGAUUAGGAGGAACAACAGUGGCGAAGGCGACUUUCUGGACUGUAACUGACGCUGAGGUACGAAAGCGUGGGUAGCGAACA